Molecule: non-coding RNA, 24 nt
Filed under: Arabidopsis thaliana (thale cress)
Lineage: Eukaryota; Viridiplantae; Streptophyta; Magnoliopsida; Brassicales; Brassicaceae
Source: RNAcentral
AACUGUUUGCCUAUUAUCAACCUC